AUCACCUCUGGCAAACGCUGUGGAAACAAAUGGAGAACAAGAAGGGCGGGGGGAAAACAGCUCCCCGACACACCCCUCCUCCUGUCUAGACCCCGCCCCCAGACAGAAGGAACCGGGCAGCAAGAAUGGCUGACGCGACCGGCGCCAUCUCUUACGUGGGCGGAACCAGUCGCCUCUGGACGCGCCGCGGUUUCCUAAUGGGACACCGUAGGUUUCGUCGGGGAGUUUUUGGUUUGCGUGGGCGGCCGUGUACUGGGCGCCUGAAAAAGCGUGGGCCGACGUGCGGGUCUUCUUUGCUCAAGACCUGCUAUUUAAAGAUGCUCGCGAACCUUUAAGGUAGAUGCAUAGUGCAGUUUUUAAUAGGAAAAACUGCCGGCUCCUGGGGAAGCGGAGCAGAGUUGGUUGUAAACGGUUUUAAUUGUAUGUGCUCCUGAAUCUGUAAGGCAUUACACUUAGAAAGUAUGUGAAGUAUUUCACCAACGGGGUUUUUCGCCACGACAAAGUUAGCUAUGACUCCUCCUCAAAGCCUGUUAGGUGACCGUCCCACUUGUGGUCUUCAGUACCUGUGAGCAGUUUCUCAGGCUCCUUUGAGAGUCACGUUUCACCUGAUUGGACAAUGUGCAUAAAUUCCCUUAAUCUGGGGGAAUUGUAACCAUUACGUUUGAUAACGCUUUAUGAGAUAUUUUUUGGUCUACAACGUGCACAUUCCAGUGUUUCAUUAUGGGUUCCAAGGUGGCCGCAGAGCCAGUGUGUGAAGCGGUGGGAGUUUUUCAUCUCAGCAUAAGAAACUGGCAGUCAGAGCUUCAAGGUGACGGCGAUGGUCCAGCUCCCGUAGGAGAGCAUUCAAGGGUGACUGGAGGAAGAGGCCCUUUCAUUCAGAUGGCAUCUGAAAACUUUUUUUUUCUUCUUUUGUGGUACUGGGAAUUGAACCCAGGGCUUUCUUUUAGCCCCUUUUUAAAUGUAUUUUGAGACAGGGUCCCACUAAGUCACUAAGCUGCCCGAGCUAGGCUCAAACUCGUGUUCCUUCUCCCUCAGCCUUUCACGGUACCACUACACCAGCUUUAAAGCUUCCAAGUCUUUCUGUACUUCCUCCUUACGGCACUUGCCCUUCCCUUACUCCCUCCCCAGUAGACGUCAUAGAGUCUGCAGGCAGAGACAUCUGAAAAUGACCAGACCCCCACACUUGACUAAUGGUCACCAUUAGGAUACGUAUGAGACUGUUCUUUCUUAUCAUUCAUUAUCUGGGCUGUAGAAUUCUUGUGAUAGUAUUUGGAAAUUUGAAUAUAGUAAUUAUAUAAGAGCCUUCUAAUAUGGUGAAGGAUUUAAAUAACUCACUUUGGAUUUUUCUUCCUUAACAUGAGCUUUCACCCCAAGUGUCCUUUACUGAAAUAUUUUCAAGAGUCCCUUUUUGACUGUUGAGGAACAGAAGAACUCCUGCCUAGCUUUCCUUGCAUUCCUCUGCUAUCAACAGUCUGUUCUCCGGCCUCACAGUGCAUCUUCUCCUCCCUCCCUUCCCCUGCUGCCUUCUCCUUUGAGCUUCAUUCCAUCAGCCUAGUCCCCAUAUUUUACUUUUUUUUUUUUCUGCUGCUCCAAGACAGAAAGACUUGUUCAAGGUCUGUGUCUUCUCUUGGGCCUACUUGAGUCUACACUCUACUGAGGCUUCACUGCCGUAAAGGUACAAUCCUGAAGUCAUGCUAUCCAACAGAAAUAAAAUGCAAACUGCAUAUCUAAUUGCAUAUUCUUCUAAAAACAGUUUUGAUCAUAUAGUUGAUUUAAUAUAGCCGUAAUAUUAUCAUUUAUAUAUGAAAUCAACUAAAAAUGAUUGAUGGCAGUUUGGGUUCUUUCCUGGUCGUAGAAGUCUGGUGUACACUUUGUAUCUGUCACACAUCCCCACGUCCUCUGUGGGCGAGUCACUGUUGUACGGAACGGUGACUGCACAUUCUCUUGCUCUCAAACAUGCACUUGUUUAUUUCAUAGCUUUUUACUGAAGCCAAAUUACAAAUAAGUCCUUGGCACUGGAAGUCGCAUUUGGUAUUUCUGUGUCUUAACUGUUCGUUCCUGAGACUGCAGUAUUGCCUCUUGAUAGAUUGGAAUCAUUAAUUCUUCCUGUAAACUCUUCAACGCAGCACACUUACUGCCACUACAAUAUCUCUAUGCCUGAAAUUUCCUUCCUGCUUCCCAUAUUUAUAUUAUGAUUCAAUAACCACAUAAUGUCUGUUUUGUUAGAUUUGAACCUUAAUAUGUUGUAUAGGAUUAUAAGAAAUAAAUGUAUAUUAUUUAUAGUGCUGUUGCACUAGAGAGAAUUAUUUUGAGUACAGUAUUCGC
RNAcentral lists this long non-coding RNA (2325 nucleotides) under Chinchilla lanigera (long-tailed chinchilla). Its description in RNAcentral is "lncRNA (ENSCLAG00000028126.1)". Lineage: Eukaryota; Metazoa; Chordata; Mammalia; Rodentia; Chinchillidae. The record is from RNAcentral.